This is a long non-coding RNA of Felis catus (domestic cat), 2392 nucleotides long. RefSeq lists it as uncharacterized. NCBI's taxonomy places the organism in Eukaryota, Metazoa, Chordata, Mammalia, Carnivora, Felidae. The record is from RefSeq and is a predicted model, not a curated record. The transcript is spliced from 9 exons.
UCACAGUGUCAGCCAAGAGCCCAACACGGGGCUUGAACCCACAAACCAUGAUACCAUGACCUGAGCCGAAGUCGGAUGCUUAACUGAGUCACCCGGGCUCCCCUGCUGUCCCAACUGUUUAGGUGAAAGUGAAGGGCAGAAAACAGCUUGAACUUCCCAGAAUGUUCUAUUAAUGGAUUACAAAGCUUUGUUACCUCUUAGAAGAAUUUAUCUUAUCUCUUAACAUACAAAAAUAGUAAUCACUAAGUAUACAUAUGUAAGAAAGUGAUAUCACUUGGGGGGAUGUUAAAUUUUCAUACACCUUUUAUCCUCUAAGAAGGAAGAGACAUCUAUUCCCAACUAUGUCAGUUCCUAAAACAUAAGGGGGAAAACCCCACAAUAAAUUGCAAGCCUAAGAAUCUAUUAUUAAGGCAGAUUAACGCUGCAUCCCACAAUGUUGUCAAAAAACCCAGAUGUGUCAUGUUUGAGUUGCAUUUUCAUUACGUGCACAUACUUGGCUUUGAGCAGAAUUAUAUGAGUUGGAUUAAUUUUUUAUAUGGCCCUCCAGCAGCUCUAUGUGGAACCAUAUGGGAGACAUUUGGUUCUCAUCAACUCCCUUUUACCCUUCCUUACACUCCAUUGCUUUAAACUGAACUUUCAUUCUCUUUAACUAUCUGCAGGUUUUAUUCUGUUCAGAGAGAAGAGCCACUAAAAUAUUAUGACCUCUAAGUGACGGGCUGUGAGACAGGGUCUCUCUCCAAAGCCAGCCCACAGCUGUGCAUUGAUCGCACGUGUCGGUGGCCUGGUGUAGGCUGUGGAGCGGGUCUGUUCUCUUUCAUCUCACUGGGCGGAUACUUAGAACAUGGUUUGCUUCUCUCUUGUGGUCUGUAAGGAAGUGGAAGGAUUCAGUUUUCAGCCCUGAUAUUAUGGUGGUUUUUGCUAGGCUUGAAAUUCACUUUUCAAAGAGGGUAGAUAUUUUAUAAGGGGAAUGGUUGUUAGGAGAUUUUCUGAGAUUCAACUUCAGUGAUACCAAGGCUUCCCUGUAAAGAUUUCAGACACAUCAGCAUGAUUAUUUGCUAACCACUCUGCAGGGGAGGGCAGUGGUAAAUAUCAAUGAGUGUCUAUAAUAAAGGAGCCCAAGACUGGGAUGUAGUAGAAUGCCAGCCAGCGUUUGAAUUUAGGUUUGCUUAUGACUCAGAAUUUCUCUCCUCAUAGUCUGGCCCAUCCGGUUUCCUUCCUUGAUGGGCAGAGAAGACGCUGAGAGAAAAAGUACAAAAGUACAAAAGUACAAAAGUACUGUCUGUGUGUUGUAAAUAUGUGCUCUGGGGUGGAAACCUGAGACCAGAGCAUCGCUUAUAAUCAUGAGGUCAAUUAACAUUUGACACAAGAAUUUGAAACAACCUGACGCUGGAGGCAUAGAAACAGAGGCUGUGUCAGGUCCAACUAAAAAGAAACCUAAGAGGUAAAGGGAAAAGUGUGGCCCCAAAUUUGUUGUAAGAAGGUUGUGUAUAAAAAUGUCAUCAGCCUGGAUUGAAUACCUGAGUUAGUUCAAAACCUAGUAUGAUCACUUACUAGCUUUGAACUUGGAUUCUUACUCCCUCUGUGACCAAAGCUGUUUACAAGACGCAGAUCAUUGUGAAACUUUCUCAGAAUUCACCUCUUUAAAAGAUCUUUUCCGGUGCCUGGGUGGCUCAGUCGCAACAUCCUGGUACUGAAUUCCUUCCAACCAUUGUUACCUUUAUUUGCAAUUGAGUUAGUUGAUGACUGCCUAGGCUCUCCCGGUUGGCUCAUGCCUUUAAGCCCAAUUCAGUGAGCUCCAGCAGAGAGGAGAUAAGAAAAAACUAUUUAUGGUCAUCAGGGAAGAGGAAGAAAUCCCUAGCUGGUCACCAAGAGCUGAAGUAAAGUCUUCCCAGAACAGAGUCUGUGAAGAUACGGCAGACGUGUUUGAGUUUCAGAUGAUCAGCAGUGCAGGCCCCGACCGAGCGAUUUGCCGCUGUCUUUGCGUCUACGCCUAUCUUCACCUCAGACCGGUUCUCCCUCUACAUCAAGUCACUGAAUAGGAAUCAGUCUGCACAGAAAACACGAAAGUGAGAAUGGAGAAGAAGCUAUUUCACCCAUGAAAUGGGCCAGUGAGAUUCCUCACCUCCAGUCCUGGAAGAUGCCUGGAAACCGGUGCCCUUUGUCAGCCUCGUGAAUUCAUAAUCACUUGUGAGUGCUUCAUUUUCCCCCAACCCCCCACCCUCAUUCUUUCUUUCUCCUGAGUGGCAUUUACUGGUUGUUUGGGAACAGACAUUUAUAGACAAUGAGCUACAGUUGGGUUGUCUUCAGAAGAGUCACUGAAGAAUCGAGAACGCCAAGCACCGAGUCACCACUUGUCUUAUACAUUUGAUUAAAUAUGCUUGUCUGUUUUCAA